UACAGAGGGGGCAAGCGUUAUUCGGAAUUACUGGGCGUAAAGCGCGCGUAGGCGGACCUGCAAGUCGGGGGUGAAAGCCCGAGGCUCAACCUCGGAACUGCCUUCGAUACUGCGGGUCUCGAGUCCGGGAGAGGUGAGUGGAAUUCCUAGUGUAGAGGUGAAAUUCGUAGAUAUUAGGAAGAACACCAGUGGCGAAGGCGGCUCACUGGCCCGGUACUGACGCUGAGGCGCGAAAGCGUGGGGAGCAAACAGG
This 253-nucleotide ribosomal RNA is filed under the name uncultured bacterium. RNAcentral describes it as "partial 16S ribosomal RNA". It matches the Rfam family "Bacterial small subunit ribosomal RNA", at positions 524 to 776 of the family's 1533-position model. The record is from RNAcentral.